Molecule: ribosomal RNA, 253 nt
Filed under: uncultured bacterium
Lineage: Bacteria
Description: partial 16S ribosomal RNA
Rfam family: Bacterial small subunit ribosomal RNA
Source: RNAcentral
UACGUAGGUGGCAAGCGUUGUCCGGAAUUAUUGGGCGUAAAGCGCGCGCAGGCGGUCCUUUAAGUCUGAUGUGAAAGCCCACGGCUCAACCGUGGAGGGUCAUUGGAAACUGGGGGACUUGAGUGCAGGAGAGAAGAGUGGAAUUCCACGUGUAGCGGUGAAAUGCGUAGAGAUGUGGAGGAACACCAGUGGCGAAGGCGACUCUUUGGCCUGUAACUGACGCUGAGGCGCGAAAGCUAGGGGAGCGAAUGGG